RNAcentral lists this ribosomal RNA (278 nucleotides) under uncultured bacterium. RNAcentral's name for it is "partial 16S ribosomal RNA". It matches the Rfam family "Bacterial small subunit ribosomal RNA", at positions 28 to 334 of the family's 1533-position model. The record is from RNAcentral.
GAUGAACGCUGGCGGCGUGCUUAACACAUGCAAGUCGAACGAAGUCUUCGGACUUAGUGGCGGACGGGUGAGUAACGUGUGAGAAUCUGCCUAAAGGUGGGGGAUAACUAUUGGAAACGAUAGGUAAUACCGCAUAUGCCGAGAGGUGAAAGCCUAGAGUGCCUUUAGAUGAGCUCGCGUCUGAUUAGUUAGUUGGUGGGGUAAGAGCUUACCAAGACGACGAUCAGUAGCUGUUCUGAGAGGAAGAUCAGCCACACUGGGACUGAGACACGGCCCAG